Molecule: long non-coding RNA, 583 nt
Filed under: Sinocyclocheilus grahami
Lineage: Eukaryota; Metazoa; Chordata; Actinopteri; Cypriniformes; Cyprinidae
Description: lncRNA (ENSSGRG00000030962.1)
Source: RNAcentral
AGGAAACAGCUGCCAGUUACACAAAAUCCAUAAAGAAAGGUAAUCUGAGCUCCAGAGAUGAAUUCACAGAAGCAUUUCCUCGUCCUGCUCCGCCGGUGAUGCAGAUCAGAACAACACAGCGGCAGAUUUCAACACCAGGCGGAGCUCAGAUCACCAUGUCCAACGUCUGUGGAGUUCAGAUCGGCAACAACAACAGCAUGAAUAUAGUUCAGAAACCGCGGCAGAGGCACCGGACGGCUCCUUCCAGCGUCGGCAGGUCACAGAACUCGGAGAACUCACAGAAAAAACCUCAGUGACAUCUUCACACAGGAAUCAGCUCUCGUUCAGCUCUCAGGAGUUGAGAGUGUUUUAGUGGCUAGACUAUAACUGAGUCAAAGGGAAAUAGAAUUUCAAUGCGGCUGAAAAAUAUUCAGGCCUAAAUGUAGGAUUCAUGUAUUUGAACCGCAUAUAAAAUAUCCAUGCAUUUGGAUUACACAGUAUAACAUUAACUAACCAAUAAAUGUAAUGAGAUGCAUAUUUGUUAGUCGUGCAUAAAGUCAGAUUAAUAAUAAACCACGCAAUGUUUUUGUUACUUGAAAUAAAC